UGGGGAAUUUUGGACAAUGGGCGAAAGCCUGAUCCAGCAAUGCCGCGUGUGUGAAGAAGGCCUUCGGGUUGUAAAGCACUUUUGUCCGGAAAGAAAUCCUUGGCUCUAAUACAGUCGGGGGAUGACGGUACCGGAAGAAUAAGCACCGGCUAACUACGUGCCAGCAGCCGCGGUAAUACGUAGGGUGCAAGCGUUAAUCGGAAUUACUGGGCGUAAAGCGUGCGCAGGCGGUUUGCUAAGACCGAUGUGAAAUCCCCGGGCUCAACCUGGGAACUGCAUUGGUGACUGGCAGGCUAGAGUAUGGCAGAGGGGGUAGAAUUCCACGUGUAGCAGUGAAAUGCGUAGAGAUGUGGAGGAAUACCGAUGGCGAAGGCAGCCCCUGGGCCAAUACUGACGCUCAUGCACGAAAAGCGUGGGGAGCAAACAGGAUUAGAUACCCUGGUAGUCCACGCCCUAAAACGAUGUCAACUAGUUGUUGGGGAUUCAUUUCCUUAGUAACGUAGCUAACGCGUGAAGUUGACCGCCUGGGGAGUACGGUCGCAAGAUUAAAACUCAAAGGAAUUGACGGGGUCAUAGCUGUUUCCU
RNAcentral lists this ribosomal RNA (585 nucleotides) under uncultured bacterium. RNAcentral describes it as "partial 16S ribosomal RNA". It matches the Rfam family "Bacterial small subunit ribosomal RNA", at positions 355 to 1375 of the family's 1533-position model. The record is from RNAcentral.